RNAcentral lists this ribosomal RNA (497 nucleotides) under uncultured bacterium. Its description in RNAcentral is "partial 16S ribosomal RNA". It matches the Rfam family "Bacterial small subunit ribosomal RNA", at positions 28 to 507 of the family's 1533-position model. The record is from RNAcentral.
GAUGAACGCUGGCGGCGUGCCUAAUACAUGCAAGUCGAGCGAACAGACGAGGAGCUUGCUCCUUUGACGUUAGCGGCGGACGGGUGAGUAGCACGUGGGUAACCUACCUAUAAGACUGGGAUAACUUCGGGAAACCGGAGCUAAUACCGGAUAAUAUUUCGAACCGCAUGGUUCGAUAGUGAAAGAUGGCUUUGCUAUCACUUAUAGAUGGACCUGCGCCGUAUUAGCUAGUUGGUAAGGUAACGGCUUACCAAGGCAACGAUACGUAGCCGACCUGAGAGGGUGAUCGGCCACACUGGAACUGGGACACGGUCCAGACUCCUACGGGAGGCAGCAGUAGGGAAUCUUCCGCAAUGGGCGAAAGCCUGACGGAGCAACGCCGCGUGAGUGAUGAAGGUCUUCGGAUCGUAAAACUCUGUUAUUAGGGAAGAACAAACGUGUAAGUAACUGUGCACGUCUUGACGGUACCUAAUCAGAAAGCCACGGCUAACUACGUG